RNAcentral lists this ribosomal RNA (486 nucleotides) under uncultured bacterium. RNAcentral's name for it is "bacterial SSU rRNA". It matches the Rfam family "Bacterial small subunit ribosomal RNA", at positions 8 to 507 of the family's 1533-position model. The record is from RNAcentral.
AGAGUUUGAUCAUGGCUCAGGACGAACGCUGGCGGCGUGCUUAACACAUGCAAGUCGAACGGUGACCCAGGGCUUGCCCUGGUGAUCAGUGGCGAACGGGUGAGUAACACGUGGGCAACCUGCCCCUGACUUCGGGAUAACUCCUCGAAAGAGGAGCUAAUACCGGAUACGACCACUUCGGACAUCCGAUGGUGGUGGAAAGUUCUUCGGUCAGGGAUGGGCCCGCGGCCUAUCAGCUAGUUGGUGGGGUAAUGGCCUACCAAGGCGACGACGGGUAGCCGGCCUGAGAGGGCGACCGGCCACACUGGGACUGAGACACGGCCCAGACUCCUACGGGAGGCAGCAGUGGGGAAUAUUGCGCAAUGGGCGAAAGCCUGACGCAGCGACGCCGCGUGAGGGAUGAAGGCCUUCGGGUUGUAAACCUCUUUCAGCAGGGACGAAGCGAAAGUGACGGUACCUGCAGAAGAAGCACCGGCUAACUACGUG